RNAcentral lists this ribosomal RNA (495 nucleotides) under uncultured bacterium. RNAcentral describes it as "partial 16S ribosomal RNA". It matches the Rfam family "Bacterial small subunit ribosomal RNA", at positions 28 to 507 of the family's 1533-position model. The record is from RNAcentral.
GACGAACGCUGGCGGCGUGCCUAAUACAUGCAAGUAGAACGCUGAAGGAGGAGCUUGCUUCUCUGGAUGAGUUGCGAACGGGUGAGUAACGCGUAGGUAACCUGCCUGGUAGCGGGGGAUAACUAUUGGAAACGAUAGCUAAUACCGCAUAAUAGUAGAUGUCGCAUGACAUUUGCUUAAAAGGUGCAAUUGCAUCACUACCAGAUGGACCUGCGUUGUAUUAGCUAGUUGGUGAGGUAACGGCUCACCAAGGCAACGAUACAUAGCCGACCUGAGAGGGGGAUCGGCCACACUGGGACUGAGACACGGCCCAGACUCCUACGGGGGGCAGCAGUAGGGAAUCUUCGGCAAUGGACGGAAGUCUGACCGGGCAACGCCGCGUGAGUGAAGAAGGUUUUCGGAUCGUAAAGCUCUGUUGUAAGAGAAGAACGAGUGUGAGAGUGGAAAGUUCACACUGUGACGGUAGCUUACCAGAAAGGGACGGCUAACUACGUG